AGGAAUAUUGGUCAAUGGGCGCAAGCCUGAACCAGCCAUGCCGCGUGCAGGAAGACGGCUCUAUGAGUUGUAAACUGCUUUUGUACUAGGGUAAUUUGCGGUACGUGUACCGUAUUGAAAGUAUAGUACGAAUAAGGAUCGGCUAACUCCGUGCCAGCAGCCGCGGUAAUACGGAGGAUCCAAGCGUUAUCCGGAUUUAUUGGGUUUAAAGGGUGCGUAGGCGGUUACUUAAGUCAGCGGUCAAAUGGCGGGGCUCAACCCCGUCCAGCCGUUGAAACUGGGUAGCUUGAGUCGGCGAGAAGUACGCGGAAUGCGCGGUGUAGCGGUGAAAUGCAUAGAUAUCGCGCAGAACUCCGAUUGCGAAGGCAGCGUACCGGCGCCGCACUGACGCUGAGGCACGAAAGCGUGGGUAUCGAACAG
This 420-nucleotide ribosomal RNA is filed under the name uncultured bacterium. RNAcentral describes it as "bacterial SSU rRNA". It matches the Rfam family "Bacterial small subunit ribosomal RNA", at positions 357 to 775 of the family's 1533-position model. The record is from RNAcentral.